GAGCCCGUGGCUCAAUAGUAGAGCGUUGGACUAAAAUACCAAAGGUCGCGGGUUCG
RNAcentral lists this transfer RNA (56 nucleotides) under Schistocephalus solidus. It matches the Rfam family "tRNA", at positions 1 to 55 of the family's 71-position model. Rfam says of the family: Transfer RNA (tRNA) molecules are approximately 80 nucleotides in length. Their secondary structure includes four short double-helical elements and three loops (D, anti-codon, and T loops). Further hydrogen bonds mediate the characteristic L-shaped molecular structure. tRNAs have two regions of fundamental functional importance: the anti-codon, which is responsible for specific mRNA codon recognition, and the 3' end, to which the tRNAs corresponding amino acid is attached (by aminoacyl-tRNA synthetases). tRNAs cope with the degeneracy of the genetic code in two manners: having more than one tRNA (with a specific anti-codon) for a particular amino acid; and 'wobble' base-pairing, i.e. permitting non-standard base-pairing at the 3rd anti-codon position. Lineage: Eukaryota; Metazoa; Platyhelminthes; Cestoda; Diphyllobothriidea; Diphyllobothriidae. The record is from Rfam by way of RNAcentral.